UACUCUGGGAGCUGAGGGCA
This 20-nucleotide microRNA is filed under the name Callorhinchus milii (elephant shark). RNAcentral describes it as "eshark_mir-506_2". Lineage: Eukaryota; Metazoa; Chordata; Chondrichthyes; Chimaeriformes; Callorhinchidae. The record is from RNAcentral.